GAAAGUUAGGGCAAAAUCGGCAUUUUAUCUCAGCAAAACAAAAACACUCCCAAGUCCUACCCUCUUCACUCUACCGCCGUUCGCUCAUCCUUCUCGCACCUCAGAGAGGGCUGUCGAAAACCCUAAGCGCCAUCUCCGACUCAAAAUUGAGCAAAUCCGUACCGAAAGUUCAUAACUUUCAUUCAAUUCGGAAACCACAGAUUGUUCAAUUUCCCCCCUUUUUACUAUUGAUUUUUCUGUUUGUUGGAUUCGAAGGAGCCAUGCCGCCAAAGGCAUCGAAGGCCGACUUGGCGAAGAAGCAGAAGGUGGUGGAGGACAAGACCUUUGGGCUCAAGAACAAGAACAAGAGCAAGAAUGUCCAGAAGUACGUCCAGAAUCUCCAGCAGUCUGUCCAGCCCAAAGUAGACCCCACCAAGGCUAAGAAAAAGAAGGAGGAAGAGAAAGCAAAAGAGAAGGAGCUUAAUGAUUUGUUUAAGAUUGCUGUUAGUCAGCCUAAAGUGCCACCUGGUGUUGAUCCAAAGUCUAUAUUAUGCGAGUUUUUCAAGGUUGGACAAUGUACCAAGGGAUUCAAGUGCAAGUUUUCGCAUGACUUGAAUGUCCAGAGGAAGGGUGAAAAGAUUGAUAUUUACAGUGAUAAACGUGAUGAUGAAGACACUAUGGAGGAUUGGGAUCAAGCGACGUUGGAAAAGGUUGUGGAGUCAAAGAAGAAUGAGUAUAACCAGAAUAAGCCCACCGAAAUUGUUUGCAAACAUUUCUUAGAUGCAGUGGAAAAGAAGCAAUAUGGUUGGUUUUGGUCUUGUCCAAAUGGUGGAAAAGAGUGCCACUACAGACAUGCUCUUCCUCCUGGUUAUGUUUUGAAAUCUCAGAUGAAGGCGCUUCUCGAUGAAGAGGCUGAAAAAGUUGCCAUUGAGGAUGAAAUUGAAAAUCAGCGCGCAAAAGUAACAACCAUUACUCCAAUGACCACUGAGUUGUUCAUGCAAUGGAGGAAUAAAAAGACUGAAGAGAAAGAGGCUGGCCUGGCUGCACAACGAGCAGAGAGGGCUAAGAAUGACCGCAUGAGUGGUCGUGAGUUGUUUCUAUCAGAUGCUACCUUGUUUGUGGAUGAUGCUGAAGCGUAUGAAAAAUAUCAAAGACAAGAUCCUGAGGCCACUGAAGAGAAGGCCAAAGACAACUCAGCAGCAGGAGGGCCAAGCGCCUCGACUAGUGCUGCUGGUUCUGAAGUUCCCGUUAAUGAUGACAUUGAAGAUGAUGAUGAUGAUGAUGAGUUGGACUUUGAUGAGUUAAAUGAACUCGAAGCAAGUUUGUCAAGAACAUCCAUUCAGAUACGUGAGCCAGGUAUAGAGGCAUCUUGAAGAGGGGCAGAGAGAGUAACGUUGACAAUUUGCUUGUCGGGGGUGGUAAGAGACUAUAACGAGAAAUAUUGCUGUUCAAUUAACAUUCCGGUUUCGUGCAUCUUCUAAAUGCAUUUUUGCUGAAAUCGCAACUUCAGUGAAAUGAAAAUUCUCUCAACUGUAACAUAGAGAGCUGAACACUUUGGGAGAGCCAUGUUAAGAUUCAAGUCGACACAUAAGCUUCAUAUAGCCCCUCUGAAGUGGGACUCCGGGAGAGGGACGGACUUGCUCCGAGGAUGACCCUAGGGCGGUUCUGCAAGGGCAAGCUAAGCCUUGAGAGUUUCACAACAGAUUUAAAAUUUAGUUCAUCACUUGUAAGUGAAAGGUCUUAAAUUUGAUUCUCGCCAAA
This is an RNA transcript of Malus domestica (apple), 1740 nucleotides long. It is a transcript of the gene named zinc finger CCCH domain-containing protein 11-like, with no coding region annotated. Lineage: Eukaryota; Viridiplantae; Streptophyta; Magnoliopsida; Rosales; Rosaceae. The record is from RefSeq and is a predicted model, not a curated record.